This 240-nucleotide ribosomal RNA is filed under the name uncultured bacterium. RNAcentral's name for it is "partial 16S ribosomal RNA". It matches the Rfam family "Bacterial small subunit ribosomal RNA", at positions 15 to 245 of the family's 1533-position model. The record is from RNAcentral.
GAUCCUGGCUCAGGAUGAACGCUAGCGACAGGCUUAACACAUGCAAGUCGAGGGGCAGCAUGGUUUGUAGCAAUACAAACUGAUGGCGACCGGCGCACGGGUGAGUAACGCGUAUGCAACUUACCUAUCAGAGGGGGAUAGCCCGGCGAAAGUCGGAUUAAUACCCCAUAAAACAGGGGUCCCGCAUGGGAAUAUUUGUUAAAGAUUUAUUGCUGAUAGAUAGGCAUGCGUUCCAUUAGG